Molecule: long non-coding RNA, 203 nt
Filed under: Mytilus galloprovincialis (Mediterranean mussel)
Lineage: Eukaryota; Metazoa; Mollusca; Bivalvia; Mytilida; Mytilidae
Source: RNAcentral
UGGGUCCUCAAUGCUCCUCAACUUUGUAUUUGUUUUGGCUUUUUAACUAUUUUGAUCUGAGCGUCACUGAUGAGUCUUAUGUAGACGAAACGCGCGUCUGGCGUAUAAAAUUAUAAUCCUGGUACUUUUGAUAACUAUUUACACCACUGGGUCGAUGCCACUGCUGGUGGACGUUUCGUCCCCGAGGGUAUCACCAACCCAGU